Molecule: transfer RNA, 89 nt
Filed under: Sphingomonas prati
Lineage: Bacteria; Pseudomonadati; Pseudomonadota; Alphaproteobacteria; Sphingomonadales; Sphingomonadaceae
Description: tRNA-Pro
Source: RNAcentral
CGGGGAGUGGCGCAGUCUGGCAGCGCAUCUGGUUUGGGACCAGGGGGUCAUGCAGAUCUGACAAGUUCGAGCCUCAACCGUCGCCCUUC